Nicotiana attenuata is the source of this 762-nucleotide long non-coding RNA. RefSeq lists it as uncharacterized. The record is from RefSeq and is a predicted model, not a curated record. Lineage: Eukaryota; Viridiplantae; Streptophyta; Magnoliopsida; Solanales; Solanaceae. The transcript has 3 exons.
GUGAAAUAUUUCCCCCAAGUUCUGAAGAGGCAAAGAGAUCUUAUUGAAAUUUCCCAAUCCCUUUCCGCGUACUCCGACUCCUCCGCCCGUUUGCAGUGACCUAGUCCAUACAGUACAAAAUAUGGAGUUUCGGUAAUGAAACUAACUGAGAUAGUCUUGCGCUGAGUCAACUUGUGUUGGCUCCUUCGGUGGCUCUUCCUCCGCAGCACCCAGUAAAGUGCCGCCAUCGAUUUGUCUUCACCUUUCGUUCCUUUACGGAAAUUGUUCACUCUGCUUCCAUACUUUUAUUUUAUGCAGGAGCGUGACAAGUAGAUCUGACCAUCAACGACAAUGGAGAAAGACUUGGAAAUUCUUCUCUAGAGGAGAUAGAUAUCGGGGAUACGCGAUUUCAUAGGCUCGGGGAUCACUUCAAGAGCGAGUCCGAAAUAGACUGGGUCCGAGCCCGAUGGCGGAGUUCGAAGUUCAAAGAUUAGAGUAUUCGAUGAAUAUCAAGGCCGAGCGUGACCAGCCUCGAAAUAAUGCUGUUGUGGUUUUGUAACAGAAAAGGCGGGAUUCCCGCAAUGGCACAAAGAUCAAGGCAUAAAUUUCGGGACGGAUUUGUACGGAAUCGUACUAGGCUGUUAGACAGCUGUCUAAUUAGAUUCCUUACUAAAAACGGAAAUGUACCUUAUUUAGGACUCCCCUAUUAUAAAGUGGAGCCCAUUCAUUUGUAAAGACAUUGAAUCAUUGUCAAAGAAUAUACUCUCUUACUUUUCUCGCUCA